GAUAAUAAGAUGAUCAAAAUACAAGAAAACGACGAGUAGUCAAUGAAAAGUACUACCAACAGAAUGUGAGAAUGCGUGCUCUUUCUCCUCAAAUGUCCAAACCACCUAGGUCUCGCUUCCAAAAUCUUGUAAUAGGGGUUAUACUCACCUUGUCACGAAUAACUUCAUUAUUAAUCCUAUCUAACUUGGUGUCUGCUCAUCCAUCUUAUCAUUUUCAUAUUGCCUUCAAAAUAAUAAAAAAUCCCUUCUAAUUAAUGCUUCAAAAUAAGCUUUUCAUUGCAUGUUUUAUGUCAUGGGUUGCUUUUCAUACACGCCUCAU
This 319-nucleotide long non-coding RNA is filed under the name Nicotiana benthamiana. Its description in RNAcentral is "long non-coding RNA (NBEN_LNC006752)". Lineage: Eukaryota; Viridiplantae; Streptophyta; Magnoliopsida; Solanales; Solanaceae. The record is from RNAcentral.